AUUGAACGCUGGCGGCAUGCCUUACACAUGCAAGUCGAACGGCAGCGCGGACUUCGGUCUGGCGGCGAGUGGCGAACGGGUGAGUAAUACAUCGGAACGUACCCUGUUGUGGGGGAUAACUAGUCGAAAGAUUAGCUAAUACCGCAUACGACCUGAGGGUGAAAGUGGGGGACCGCAAGGCCUCACGCAGCAGGAGCGGCCGAUGUCUGAUUAGCUAGUUGGUGGGGUAAAGGCCCACCAAGGCGACGAUCAGUAGCUAGUCUGAGAGGACGAUCAGCCACACUGGGACUGGGACACGGCCCAGACUCCUACGGGAGGCAGCAGUGGGGAAUUUUGGACAAUGGGGGCAACCCUGAUCCAGCAAUGCCGCGUGUGUGAAGAAGGCCUUCGGGUUGUAAAGCACUUUUGUCCGGAAAGAAAUCGCGCUGGUUAAUACCUGGCGUGGAUGACGGUACCGGAAGAAUAAGCACCGGCUAACUACGUG
RNAcentral lists this ribosomal RNA (484 nucleotides) under uncultured bacterium. RNAcentral's name for it is "partial 16S ribosomal RNA". It matches the Rfam family "Bacterial small subunit ribosomal RNA", at positions 30 to 507 of the family's 1533-position model. The record is from RNAcentral.